CCAUAGGUUUUGGGGGUGAAUCCCCGGGGUAUUGGGGCAAACCCCAUAGGUUUUGGGGCCAAUCCUGGGGUUUUGGGGCCAAUCCCCAGGGUUUUGGGGUUAAGCCUGGGUUUUGGGGCGAACCCCUGAGGUUUCGGGGUGAACCCACGGGGUUUUGGGGCCAAUGCCGGGGUUUUGGGGCGACCCCCCGGGGUUCGGGGCCCCCCCGCGGCGCAGGGAGGGGGGGGGACAAAGACCACGGCGGAUUUUAUUCUUAAGAAAGAGCUACAAAAGGUAGAAAACAGCUUCUGCGGGGGGAGGGGCGGCGCGGGGGGGCGGGGGGGGGGCGCCUCCCCC
Phalacrocorax carbo (great cormorant) is the source of this 336-nucleotide non-coding RNA. The record is from RefSeq and is a predicted model, not a curated record. Lineage: Eukaryota; Metazoa; Chordata; Aves; Suliformes; Phalacrocoracidae.